GCAUAACGUCGCAAGACCAAAGAGGGGGGACCGUUCGGGCCUCUUGCCAUCGGAUGUGCCCAGAUGGGAUUAGCUAGUAGGUGGGGUAACGGCUCACCUAGGCGACGAUCCCUAGCUGGUCUGAGAGGAUGACCAGCCACACUGGAACUGAGACACGGUCCAGACUCCUACGGGAGGCAGCAUG
RNAcentral lists this ribosomal RNA (184 nucleotides) under uncultured bacterium. RNAcentral describes it as "partial 16S ribosomal RNA". It matches the Rfam family "Bacterial small subunit ribosomal RNA", at positions 171 to 353 of the family's 1533-position model. The record is from RNAcentral.